AAACCAUGAUGUGGAUAGCUCCUUAAUAAAUCCUUGACCCAUUUCCAACAAUCAUACAAAGUUUCAUUCUUCUGCAGAAGAAACCCUGCUAUGUCAUUCCUCAACUU
Small nucleolar RNA from Ricinus communis (castor bean), 107 nucleotides. NCBI's taxonomy places the organism in Eukaryota, Viridiplantae, Streptophyta, Magnoliopsida, Malpighiales, Euphorbiaceae. The record is from RefSeq and is a predicted model, not a curated record.